GCCUGCGGAAGGAUCAUUACCAAUUCAACGGUGUGGUCGCGGCCUCCGGGGGCUCCCCCCGGGCGGUAGAGGUAACACUCUUACGCGCCACAUGUCUGAAUCCUUUUUUUACGAGCACCUUUCGUUCUCCUUCGGUGGGGCAACCUGCCGUUGGAACUUAUCAAAACCUUUUUUUGCAUCUAGCAUUACCUGUUCAGAUACAAACAAUCGUUACAACUUUCAACAAUGGAUCUCUUGGCUCUGGCAUCGAUGAAGAACGCAGCGAAAUGCGAUAAGUAGUGUGAAUUGCAGAAUUCAGUGAAUCAUCGAAUCUUUGAACGCACAUUGCGCCCCUUGGUAUUCCAUGGGGCAUGCCUGUUCGAGCGUCAUCUACACCCUCAAGCUCUGCUUGGUGUUGGGCGUCUGUCCCGCCUCUGCGCGUGGACUCGCCCCAAAUUCAUUGGCAGCGGUCUUUGCCUCCUCUCGCGCAGCACAUUGCGCUUCAGAGGGGUGUGGGCCGCGUCCACGAAGCAACAUUAUCGUCUUUGACCUCGGAUCAGGUAGGGAUACCCGCUGAACUUAAGCAUAUCAAAGUGGGAAGGAAAU
RNAcentral lists this ribosomal RNA (585 nucleotides) under Microsphaeropsis sp. T23. RNAcentral describes it as "eukaryotic LSU rRNA". The stretch from base 215 to 368 matches the Rfam family "5.8S ribosomal RNA". Lineage: Eukaryota; Fungi; Ascomycota; Dothideomycetes; Pleosporales; Didymellaceae. The record is from RNAcentral.